RNAcentral lists this ribosomal RNA (237 nucleotides) under uncultured bacterium. RNAcentral's name for it is "partial 16S ribosomal RNA". It matches the Rfam family "Bacterial small subunit ribosomal RNA", at positions 27 to 261 of the family's 1533-position model. The record is from RNAcentral.
GGACGAACGCUGGCGGCGUGCUUAAUACAUGCAAGUCAACUGAACUGUUUGUAGCAAUACGGACAGGGAGGUGGCGCACGGGUGAGUAACACGUAGGUAAUCUGCCUUUAGGUCUGACAUAACCCCGGGAAACCGGAGCUAAUAUCAGAUGAUGCAGCGGCUCGACAUCGAGACAGUUGCUAAAACCUUGGGGCCUAAAGAUGAGCCUGCGUCUGAUUAGCUAGUUGGUGAGGUAAC